CCCUUAGAUGUUCUGGGCCGCACGCGCGCUACACUGAUGCAUUCAACGAGCCUAUCCUUGACCGACAGGUCCGGGUAAUCUUUGAAUCUGCAUCGUGACGGGGAUAGAUUAUUGCAAUUAUUAAUCUUCAACGAGGGAUGCCUAGUAGGCGCAAGUCAUCAGCUUGCGUCGAUUACGUCCCUGCCCUUUGUACACACCGCCCGUCGCUCCUACCGAUUGGGUGUGCUGGUGAAAUGUUCGGAUCGGCCGUUUGUCGCGGUUUCCGCGGCUCGUGGCUGAGAAGUUCAUUAAACCCUCCCACCUAGAGGAAGGAGAAGUCGUAACA
RNAcentral lists this ribosomal RNA (325 nucleotides) under uncultured eukaryote. RNAcentral's name for it is "partial 18S ribosomal RNA". It matches the Rfam family "Eukaryotic small subunit ribosomal RNA", at positions 1470 to 1796 of the family's 1831-position model. The record is from RNAcentral.